Molecule: ribosomal RNA, 202 nt
Filed under: uncultured Sphingobacteriales bacterium
Lineage: Bacteria; Pseudomonadati; Bacteroidota; Sphingobacteriia; Sphingobacteriales
Description: partial 16S ribosomal RNA
Rfam family: Bacterial small subunit ribosomal RNA
Source: RNAcentral
GACGUCAAAUCAGCACGGCCCUUACGUCCAGGGCUACACACGUGCUACAAUGGCCGAUACAGAGGGCAGCUACCUGGUGACAGGAUGCAAAUCUCCAAAGUCGGUCUCAGUUCGGAUCGGAGUCUGCAACCCGACUCCGUGAAGUUGGAUUCGCUAGUAAUCGCGCAUCAGCCAUGGCGCGGUGAAUACGUUCCCGGGCCUU